RNAcentral lists this unclassified non-coding RNA (400 nucleotides) under uncultured fungus. Its description in RNAcentral is "sequence contains ITS1". Lineage: Eukaryota; Fungi. The record is from RNAcentral.
ACGUCAUCCCCACCUUCCUCCCCGUUAUCCGGGGCGGUUUCGCCAGAGUGCUCACCAUAACGUGUUAGCAACUGGCAAUAAGGGUUGCGCUCGUUGCGGGACUUAACCCAACAUCUCACGACACGAGCUGACGACAGCCAUGCAGCACCUAUGCAGCAGUCCUUGCGGAAAGGGAUGUUUCCACCCCGGUCCACUGCAUUUCGAGCCCAGGUAAGGUUCUUCGCGUUGCGUCGAAUUGAACCACAUGCUCCACCGCUUGUGCGGGCCCCCGUCAAUUCCUUUGAGUUUCAGCCUUGCGGCCGUACUCCCCAGGCGGAUUGCUUAUCGCGUUAGCUGCGGCACGACGGGAUUGGGUACCCGCCACACCAAGCAAUCAUCGUUUAGGGCUAGGACUACCAGG